This 352-nucleotide ribosomal RNA is filed under the name uncultured bacterium. RNAcentral describes it as "bacterial SSU rRNA". It matches the Rfam family "Bacterial small subunit ribosomal RNA", at positions 527 to 881 of the family's 1533-position model. The record is from RNAcentral.
GUAGGGGGCAAGCGUUAUCCGGGUUUACUGGGUGUAAAGGGUGCGUAGGUGGCAGUGCAAGUCAGAUGUGAAAGGCCGGGGCUCAACCCCGGAAGUGCCGUUGAUACUGUCUGGCUAGAAUGAUUCCGCCGUGGGAGGAAUGAGUAGUGUAGCGGUGAAAUGCAUAGAUAUUACUCAGAACACCGAUUGCGAAGGCAUCUCACGAGGGGUUUAUUGACGCUGAGGCACGAAAGCGUGGGGAUCGAACAGGAUUAGAUACCCUGGUAGUCCACGCAGUAAACGAUGAUGGCUAACUGUCGGGCCUAAGGGUUCGGCGGCCAAGCGAAAGCGAUAAGCCAUCCACCUGGGGAGU